This is a long non-coding RNA of Amblyraja radiata (thorny skate), 64 nucleotides long. RefSeq lists it as uncharacterized. The transcript is spliced from 3 exons. The record is from RefSeq and is a predicted model, not a curated record. NCBI's taxonomy places the organism in Eukaryota, Metazoa, Chordata, Chondrichthyes, Rajiformes, Rajidae.
CUGUUGCCUCUGACUGCGUCCACACCCGUCAGAUGUUAAAUUAAAGCUUUGUAUGGUCUUAAGA